GUGACAAACAAAUCCGUAAGUGAUGGCACUACCAAUCUUAUAAACUCUUACAGAAUUGCCUAUUCAUAGUAUUAGGGUCAUAGACAUUUAAAAGAUGUAGUAUUUGGUGAUCCAGGGUUCCAUAUGGAGAACAUAUCUCCCCUCUGUGUUAGUUUGCACUUGGGUAGAUUUAAACCCACAUUUCAUUUGUAUCAGGAUAUCAACACAAUUAUG
Pelobates cultripes (western spadefoot toad) is the source of this 213-nucleotide non-coding RNA. Lineage: Eukaryota; Metazoa; Chordata; Amphibia; Anura; Pelobatidae. The record is from the annotation of a GenBank genome assembly.